GGCCAAAAUCAUAUAGGAAUAAAACUGAUAAUUCACUUAAAAUAACACUGCCGCUGAGGGCACCAGUUAGCGAAACUUACGCAGGGCAACGAUCCAAGUCCAGACAAGAAUCGCCGUUUGUGCAUUUUAUUCCAAUAACAAAGUACAAUGAACAGGUUUCCUAUAUCUCUUUUCCUUUAGCCUUUCCUUUGUGUGGCUUCAAAGACCCUGGUAAAAAAAACCUGUGCCACCUGGUGCUCUAAUCCCACCACCACCUGUCUCCAAUAUAUACAAUUACACCUGGUGCUCUAAUCACCAAGUGCACAAACAUGCCUUCAAAAUAAAAGCAUAGAAACUACUUUAACUCACUUCGAUAGCAACAAUAACUAAGAAUACAUUUACUAUAAACAAUAAUAGCAAGAAAAUAAAUGUUUAACUCUUAAAUAAUAUAAAGCGAUAUAUAGCUCCAACACCCUCCAGUACAGUACGGU
Notothenia coriiceps (black rockcod) is the source of this 470-nucleotide long non-coding RNA. RefSeq lists it as uncharacterized. The transcript is spliced from 3 exons. NCBI's taxonomy places the organism in Eukaryota, Metazoa, Chordata, Actinopteri, Perciformes, Nototheniidae. The record is from RefSeq and is a predicted model, not a curated record.